Molecule: ribosomal RNA, 99 nt
Filed under: Frankia sp. B2
Lineage: Bacteria; Bacillati; Actinomycetota; Actinomycetes; Frankiales; Frankiaceae
Source: RNAcentral
GGGGAAACGCCCGGUCUCAUUCCGAACCCGGAAGCUAAGCUCUUCAGCGCCGAUGGUACUGCAUGGGGGACUGUGUGGGAGAGUAGGACGCCGCCGGAC